Molecule: microRNA, 22 nt
Filed under: Asparagus officinalis (garden asparagus)
Lineage: Eukaryota; Viridiplantae; Streptophyta; Magnoliopsida; Asparagales; Asparagaceae
Description: aof-miR12141
Source: miRBase by way of RNAcentral
CACCUUAACUCGUACCUGUUAG